ACGACUACAUAUCAGGCAUAUCAAUAAGCGGAGGAAAAGAAACUAACAAGGAUUCCCUUAGUAACGGCGAGUGAAGCGGGAAGAGCUCAAAUUUGAAAUCUUCAAGGUUCUACCUUGACGAAUUGUAGUUUAUAGAAGUGUUUUCUGUUAGUGGAGUGGCAAAAGUUCUUUGGAAUAGGACAUCAUAGAGGGUGAGAAUCCCGUAUUUGGUCAUUCCUCCUAGCGUUGUGAUACACUUUCAACGAGUCGGAUUGCUUGGGAAUGCAGUCCAAAAUGGGUGGUAAAUUUCAUCUAAAGCUAAAUAUUGGCGAGAGACCGAUAGCGAACAAGUACCGUGAGGGAAAGAUGAAAAGAACUUUGAAAAGAGAGUUAAACAGUACGUGAAAUUGUCAAAAGGGAAGCGUUUGACACCAGUGUUGUUUUUCCGAAAAUCAAUUACGCAAUGUUUUGUUUUUGAGGAGUUAUGACUUCAUCGGCUUGCUUCUUUCUUUACGAAACUUUCUUAAUGCACUUUUCGGUUAACAAGUCAACAUCAAUUUCUUUUGUUGUAAAAGGGUAUGAGGAAGGUGGCUUUCUUUUCGGAGAAAGUGUUUAUAGCCUUGUGCCUCUGCAAUCGGAGAGAUUGAGGUCUGCAGCGUAGAUCCUUCGGGGUUAGAUACAGUUUGUGCUAAGUUAUAGCUUUUCAUAGACAACUUGUUGACUAUGUUUAGUCUUGUAGCUUACUCGCUGAUGCUAUUUUACCUACGCUUAGGAUGUUGAAUCUGUGCGAGACUAC
Molecule: ribosomal RNA, 775 nt
Filed under: uncultured Neocallimastigales
Lineage: Eukaryota; Fungi; Neocallimastigomycota; Neocallimastigomycetes; Neocallimastigales
Description: partial large subunit ribosomal RNA
Rfam family: Eukaryotic large subunit ribosomal RNA
Source: RNAcentral